This 408-nucleotide ribosomal RNA is filed under the name bacterium enrichment culture clone ALO1_GLFRUDD03HHNWL. Its description in RNAcentral is "bacterial SSU rRNA". It matches the Rfam family "Bacterial small subunit ribosomal RNA", at positions 9 to 417 of the family's 1533-position model. The record is from RNAcentral.
GAGUUUGAUCAUGGCUCAGAUUGAACGCUGGCGGCAUGCCUUACACAUGCAGGUCGAACGGCAGCACGGGAGCUUGCUCCUGGUGGCGAGUGGCGAACGGGUGAGUAAUGCAUCGGAACGUAUCCUGGAGUGGGGGAUAACGUAGCGAAAGUUACGCUAAUACCGCAUAUUCUGUGAGCAGGAAAGCGGGGGACCUUCGGGCCUCGCGCUCUUGGAGCGGCCGAUGUCGGAUUAGCUAGUUGGUGAGGUAAAGGCUCACCAAGGCGACGAUCCGUAGCAGGUCUGAGAGGAUGAUCUGCCACACUGGAACUGAGACACGGUCCAGACUCCUACGGGAGGCAGCAGUGGGGAAUUUUGGACAAUGGGGGCAACCCUGAUCCAGCCAUGCCGCGUGAGUGAAGAAGGCCU